ACGUACAUAACCCCAAUCCACACACGUUCCGUCACAUGGUCCCGGGUGCCGCGCAAGCGGUCGGAUCCAUGGGGGACGUGGAGGCCCAAC
Molecule: small RNA, 90 nt
Organism: Cobetia sp.
Lineage: Bacteria; Pseudomonadati; Pseudomonadota; Gammaproteobacteria; Oceanospirillales; Halomonadaceae
Rfam family: t44 RNA
About the family: This family consists of a number of bacterial RNA genes of between 135 and 170 bases in length. The t44 gene is found between the map and rpsB genes in all species in the full alignment apart from Shigella flexneri.
Source: Rfam